Molecule: ribosomal RNA, 505 nt
Filed under: uncultured bacterium
Lineage: Bacteria
Description: partial 16S ribosomal RNA
Rfam family: Bacterial small subunit ribosomal RNA
Source: RNAcentral
GACGAACGCUGGCGGCGUGCCUAAUACAUGCAAGUAGAACGCACAGUUUAUACCGUAGCUUGCUACACCAUAGACUGUGAGUUGCGAACGAGUGAGUAACGCGUAGGUAACCUGCCUGGUAGCGGGGGAUAACUAUUGGACACGAUAGCUAAUAUCGCAUAAUAUUCAUUAUUGCAUGAUAAUUAAUUGAAAGGUGCAAUUGCACCACUACCAGCUGGCCCUGCGUUGUAUUAGCUAGUAGGUGAGGUAACGGCUCACCGAAGCGACGAUACAUCGCCGACCUGGGAGGGUGAACGGCCCCACUGGGACUGGGACACGGCCCAGACCCCUACGGGAAGGAGGAGUAGGGGAACUUCGGCAAUGGACGAAAGGCUGACCGAGGAACGCCGCGGGAGGGAAGAAGGGUCUCGGGUCGGAAAGCUCUGUUGUAAGAGAAGAAAGGGAGGGGGAGUGGAAAGUUCACGCUGUGACGGUAUCUUAUCAGAAAGGGACGGCUAACUACGUG